RNAcentral lists this ribosomal RNA (404 nucleotides) under uncultured bacterium. RNAcentral's name for it is "bacterial SSU rRNA". It matches the Rfam family "Bacterial small subunit ribosomal RNA", at positions 355 to 775 of the family's 1533-position model. The record is from RNAcentral.
UGAGGAAUAUUGCACAAUGGGCGCAAGCCUGAUGCAGCGACGCCGCGUGGGUGAUGAAGGCUUUCGGGUCGUAAAGCCCUUUUCUAGGUGACGAGAAUGGACGGUAGCCUAGGAAUAAGUGUCGGCUAACUACGUGCCAGCAGCCGCGGUAAAACGUAGGACACAAGCGUUAUCCGGAGUUACUGGGCGUAAAGGGCGUGUAGGCGGAUCGGUAAGUCUACUCUGAAAGCUCCUGGCUAAACUGGGAGAGGCGAGUGGAGACUGUCGGUCUAGAGUGAGGAAGAGGAAAGUGGAAUUCCGCGUGUAGUGGUGAAAUGCGUAGAGAUGCGGAGGAACACCAGUGGCGAAAGCGGCUUUCUGGUCCUUAACUGACGCUGAGGCGCGAAAGCAUGGGGAGCGAACGG